RNAcentral lists this long non-coding RNA (2532 nucleotides) under Podarcis lilfordi (Lilford's wall lizard). Lineage: Eukaryota; Metazoa; Chordata; Lepidosauria; Squamata; Lacertidae. The record is from RNAcentral.
CAAGGUGAAGCAUGAAGUAUCAGAAUAAGUUGCCCCAGGAACUGUUUCCAAACAUUACAGCAGUGAAAGAGAAGCUUCAGUGGACCACUUGUCUCUCUGUAUGUGUGUAUGCAGCCAGCUAAUUAACUUGCAUGCUGGUAUAGCUGUAUUUAUUGUUAAUGUUUUUAAGUGCCCAUGUUAAUAUGCUGCUGUAUUGAAUUGCAGCAAUUCAAGCUGGUUUCCUGGAGAUUAUAAUUGCCCAGUAAGAUCAAGACUUUUUAAUGCAUUUUUUCAAUUGUUGUUUAAAAGAUUGGGCUGAUUAAAAUUUUCCUUAUUUUGGUUCCUUUUCUGUAGAUCAAGAGAUGGCAGGACAGGGCCAGUGUAUCGCUGUUGUUGUUGUUGAUAUAGCAAUUAGGAGAAAUCAGUAAAAGACCAGAUAUCCAUUAUGCUAAUUAUAUUCAUACAUAUCCCAUUGCUCCUUCCUGCUGGCUGUCUAAAAUCUCAUUUAAUUUGAAAGGUUUGCCUUGAAGAAUUAUCAGCCUAGUAACAAGAUUUUAUUUACUCGACUUAAGCUCAGGGAAGCCUUAUCCUCAUUAAAUCCCACCUUGGGGAGGGGGGCGGGCGAGCUUGGUAUUGGCAGUCAACUUUCCAAUUUCCAAGGCAUGGACAAAAACUGGACGAAGUGUUUAAAAGGCUGUCAGAACAUCCCCCAAACAGAAGCAUUUUUCUAAUAUAGUGGUACCUUGGUUUUCGAACGUCUCCGUUGACAAAUGUUUCGGUUUUCGAAUGCCAGAAACCCGGAAGUAACUGCUUCAGUUUUCAAACGCUUUUCGGAAAUCUAACAUGCCAUGCAGCUUCCAUAUUGAGUUUUCCGUAAGUAAAUGCAUCUGUAAGUAAAUGCUUCAGUUUUCAAAUGUUUUAGAACUCGAACGGUUUUUUGGGAUGGGUUAUGUUCGAAAACUGAGGUAUCACAGUAACAAUAAAAAAGGAAAGGAAAAUGGAGAUACUCUAUAAUCCAGCUUUAGUUUGGUGUUCCGACCUCCUCCUGUAAGAACAUAAGAUGAGCCUGCUGGAUUAGGCCCAUGGCCCAUCUAGUCCAGCAUCCUGUUCUCAUCAACCAGAGACACAGAUGUAGAUUUCCACCAGGUUUGGACCUUCUGGGCAAGAACAGGGGAGGUGCUAAACCCCAAAUCUCUUCCCUUAUCUCCCAAUGAGACCCUGGAAGUUUGGUUUGCACCACACCAUGGUUCAAUGGUGGGUGAUUCCCAUGGAGUGAGGUUGGAUUCUUUCCUAAAUGGAUGGAGUACCAUUCACCAGCAGGGGCUGAGGGGAAUGAGGAAAUGAUCCUUAUCCUGCUUCCAUGUCAACCCCACUGUCCACUGUAGUCAAUAAAGAUUAGGAUUAGACCUUUUUUCACCCAACACCUUGUAGCCAAGGCCACAGAUUGUGCCUUCCUGGGCAAUAUAAUUUCACUUAGUAAAAUAUCUUAGAACAUGUUUUAUAAAUCUAUAAAUCUAUAGCACCUAAUUGUUUUUUCCUCAAUUGCCUCUAGGGGUAGGGGGGGCUAUAAAAUCUGCCCAAUAAGGGUUUUCUAAAUUGUCUUUAGCUAUGUGGAGGGGUUAAAGUAGAUCCCUGGAUAUGGGCACGUCUAAGGAUAUUUGAGAGUGCAAGAGGCUGACUGGAAAUCAUUAUGCUAUCAUUAGCUGCUUGCUUUUUGUUGCGCUUAGAGGUAAUUGUGCUUAAUGCUUUGAUUAUUUCAAUUAUACUGUGUACACAGUGGAGAAUUUGUUUUUGUACAUGCUUAGCUUGGCUUAUGACUUGACAACUGGUGUAUUAAGUAGCUUGGACUUGAUGGGUAUGACAGAGCAACAAACUGUUUUGUUAACCUUUCCACAUUUUCAAAUCUUUUUCACCUGGGUCUUUCAAGUUUAAUUAACUUAUUUAAGUUGCUGGUUUUAAUUCCUUUUGCUAUCGAUGAUAUAAAAUAGUUCCCAAAAUGUAUCUUCCAAGAAUUAAAAUAUUUUUUAUUUCUUUACUCCCCGCCCCCCUUCCCAUGCUUCAGUUUAUCUUUGAUUCCUUUGCCCCCAGCCUUCUUUAAGCCACAUUAGGAGGCAAAGGAAUCCUGGUGGCUACCACACUCCUGGUUACAAUAGAGAUGUAGUAGAGAAGGAAUACUUGCUCCCGGCCCAUUUUCUUUAUGUUAUGGUAAAUUUCUGUUGUAUUGAAUGAAGUUGUUCCAGUUUCUCAAGGAUGUCCACUUGUGCAAAUGAACUUCCCCUCCCUCUCCUCCCUCUAGGCAUUCCAAAUCUACUAUAUGGCUUCUUGCAACCUCCUGGAGCAGAUUUGGGGUGCCAGUGCAGAGAACACAUGAGAGGGAAGAUCCAUUCUGAAAGCAAGACCUUCCACUACCAGGAGGACUUCAUGGGAUACAGCCCUAUGUUUCCAGACCCCUGACUUGGAAUAGACAUGGCUCUGUAAAGAUUCUAAAGACACUUUCCAUCAUGUAGGCUGUAUAGCAUAUUCUAACUUCCUGUUCAAUCCUUUCUUACAUUC